GGAGUCAAGAACCCACGAUGCUAUCUUAUGAAGCUCUGCAUAUUUUAGCGUUAUGUAAGGAUAGUGGCAUAGUUGGUACAGAAUGAACACUAGCGUACUAAGUAGGUUGUGGUUGUGUCAGACGUGCUGUGUAUUUUGGCACACUAUGUAGUUCAGUAGUGUGCAUUGUUGAGACGCUGGUGUUCGUCUCGAGUUCGACCGAAAACGUGGCAGUGCUGACUGUGUGAAACGGGUCGAAAAUUGUGAAGACAUGGUGAAGGUCGGGGCAUCCUUUUUUCGCGACUUAAAAGUGCACACAAGACACAGCUGAUCCGGUAAAUGUCGACAUGUGAACAGGAAAGCGACUGAGAGCGGAAAAGUCUGGCUGUGUUUCAAACUGCAUACUAAGUACUAAAAAGUAUGUACAAAACUCAACCACGCUAGUGGUGUUUGACACACUUUUUAGUAGGUUAGUAUGCGGUUUGGGACGCAGCCACGGACAACUCGCCGGCUGAGAGAAGUUGGAGCAAACUAAGGUGAACAUCAUUCCGGUGAACGGGAGUACUGAAAUGCAGUUUGCACUGAGAGACCAGAAAAGAGAAAAUAGUAAUAAAAGGCAGAUGUGACAAUAACAAGAAAUUGUGCAUGUAAGAAAUUCAGUCGCAGCUAUUAUGUAAUGGUUAAGUGUUUUAAUAACAAUCUCCCACUUUGUCCUUUAAUUAGUAAAUGUAUAUAUAUAUUUUUUCUUUUCAUUUCUUAAAUCCCCCCCCCCCCCCAAUCUAGUCGUAUCCAAUUACCCUGAUUGCGCUACACUUCACCUCUACCGAUACAACCCUCCACUGCAGACUGAGGAGCUUCGCAACUGACGCACACCCCCUCCGACACGUGCAGUAGCCGACUGUAUCUUUUACCUGCACGAGGCGAGUUCAUAUGCGGAUCAGCUUUGUGUAUGAAGAGCCACACCCUGAUCAGUAUUAUCCCUCAACUCCUUGCAGGCGCCAUCAAUCAGCCAGCAGAGGUCGUAAUUGAACCAGUUAUGAGGAACCUUGGUCCGGCUCGUCCCACCCUGUGAACAACAGCCAAUCGUUUUUCAUGUAGCCAUCCAGCCGGAUGGCAGAGCUGAGAUUUGAUACGAUGUAUUCGAAAUCCCAGCUCUGGUGUGCUAGCAUAUUUUACUGCUGCCAAUUAAUUGGCCAAUUAAUAAAUAUAUUUAAAUACAUAUGUUAUUUAUUUGCAUACAAAUAAUGCUGCUGUAUUAUUUCUUAAGUGUAUUUGUUUUCAAAUGUAACAUAAAAUAUUUACAGUAAGGAAUACAGAGGGGGGGAUACAAUCUGUCAAUCAUCUCACAUGCAGGCACCUCGACCAGCAGAGGCCAAACUUGCAGCAGCAGUAAGGAACUUGUUUUGUCCCCAACCCAAACACCUGUCCCACAGGCACAGCCAGUCACGUUUGUGUCAGCAGCCAGCUGGUAUCUGGCAGAUUAUAUCACUGCCCCACUCGAGCGCCUAACUCUUUUCCGAAUUAAAAUGUUAUGCUUUUGUUAUUUAUUUUGUUGUGAAGUAAAUCUCUUUUUUAAUAAACCACUUUAUAUUUUAAA
Long non-coding RNA from Trichomycterus rosablanca, 1576 nucleotides. RefSeq lists it as uncharacterized. The record is from RefSeq and is a predicted model, not a curated record. NCBI's taxonomy places the organism in Eukaryota, Metazoa, Chordata, Actinopteri, Siluriformes, Trichomycteridae. The transcript has 2 exons.